UGAUCCUGCUGCCUCAGCCUCUUGAGAAACUGGGAUUAUAAGUGUGUACUCCCACCUAGUCAGAAGCUGAAUUCUUUUGAUCACUACUAUAAUCAAGAUAACCAAAUAAUCAUUUAUAGGGGAUACUCUAUAGUUCAUAGAUGUUUAUCAAUCUGAAAAAGUGAUCAAUUUGGAAUUCAUUCAUAAUAACAUACAUCACUAAAAUCAUUACCAAAUAAUAUCUGUAAGUUUUAUCAUCUAUUUACUCUCCCCCUCCUUCUUCUGAGGGCCUUGCACAUGUUAGGCAAAUACUAUACCACUGAACUAUACCCCAGCCUCCAGCCUUCAUUUACAAUAUAUUAAGACAAUAUAAUAGUCAUUUGAAUUUUAGAAUCUAAUAUGAACCUAUGCUAAUCACCAAUUCUAGUAGGCUUUACAGAGACUACAGGCAAAAUAUUGUCAUUUGAAAAAAAUGAAUGACAUCAAAUAAUCUAACCACUACCAAAUCACCAAGGAAAUGAGGGGCCAAGGGCAAGUGGACACCCAGCAAAGAAUACUAUUUACCUCUUGAAGGCUGUGGCCUAGCACAAUGAUAGGGACCAGAAUGACAUGGUUGUAUUUUACCAAUGCUGGUGUAAUGAACGUACCCAAUCCCAGCAAGGAUCACCUGCACUGUUAUCUUAAACAUUGGUCCAGAAAAAGGAACUCUUAGGAACUUAUCAUUCUUUCUUCCAUUCCUAUUUCUCCAUUUGGGAUGGCAAUGUCUAUUCUUUGUACCAAAGGCACAUCCUAUGCAUCUUUUUCUUUUUAAUAGAAAUAAGUAUCUUAUACCGAGGCCUAUUCCAUAUAUUUUGGAAGCACAGAACUCGCUGCACAUGUUCACAGCUAAAGAGGAAUUCUGCUUCAGUGUAUGAAUCUCCUGUGGACAGGAACUUUGUUUUGCUCACUGUUCUCUUCUGAAUGCCUAUAAUAUACCUGAGAACCAAAGAACUCUCUACCUCUACCUUGUGGGAGAAAAUAUAUUCAUAUGACUCUGCUAAAAGACUAUCAUCGAGCCACUGAACAAAAAACAUAUCAAGGUUCUACCUUAAGAAUUAGCAGAGACUAUUACAAAGCUACAUAUUUUAUGACAAAAGAACUUCAGUGGGCACAUAUGAGAAGAAACAUUAAAACAAACCAUCUAUAGAAGGGAAAAAAAGAGAUCAAAAACUAGCAAAGAAUGGGUGAAGAUGAAGAGAAUUUCCCCCUAAACCUGUUCAAUAGCUAGAAUUCUUCCAGUGGUUCUUUACAUAAUGGACAUUAACACCAUAUUGGAAAGUUACUCUAAUUAUAAUAUAUAUAAAACUAAAUACUUGAAUGGUUAUAAAUCAUUAAGGCAUCUAGGGUAUUUCUAUAAAGGUAUUUCUGUGGAGCAUAAGAGAUAAACAAAUUUAAUUAUAGACUUUAAUGAUGAGAUGAUUUUAAACCAACCUGAAACAACUUUAAAAAACCAGGAAGAGUGCCUGGUGUGGUAGUGCACACCUGUAAUCCCAGCAACUCAGGAGGUCAAGGCAGGAGGAUCUCAAAUACGAGGGCAGCCUCAACAAUCUAGCAAGGCUCUGUCUCAAAAUAUAAAAUUAAAAGGACUAGGGAUGUAGCUUAAUGGUAAAACACCCUAGGUUCGAUUCCCUGUAUCAAAAAUAACAAUACAGAGAAUAGGAAUAUUAUAGUAUAUAGCUCAGUAAUUAAAUGUAGCCUGUGUGAGAUUAUUAGCAAAAAGGAAACACGUCCACCAAGUUAAUAAGAUAUAACUAUGGUAAAGCAGUAUAUUUACUACAGAUGUGAAUUCUCAAAUAUAUAGGGUGUAAGUGGAGUAAGUUUCAGGAAUUAUUCAAGACCAGAAUGGAUAAGAAAAGGAACAUGUAAGGGCACACAGACAAUCAUGUCUAAAGAAGCCAUGAACUAUUUGCUAUAUUUGGGCUCCAACUAUUUUACUAACAAUUUUUUGUUGUUGUUGUUGGGGGCAGCAGGGGUUCUGGGGACUGAAUCCAUGGGUGCUUUAUUAAAGUAGCUUCACUCCCAGCCUUUUAAAUUUUUUUUCUUCUGAGAUGGCACCUUGCUAAAUUGUAUAGGCUGGCCAUGAACUUGCUAUCAUCCUAACUCAGCCUUCCAAAUAGCUGCAAAUUACAAGUAUGAGCUACCAGGCCCCACUAAAUGUUGUUCUUGAUAGAGGUUUACUUUAUUAUAUACACAAUGUUCUUUGCUUUUAGGUAAAUUAGAAAAGUCCCCAACACUAUAUCAUAUUCUUUUAUCAACAUGGUGACACUUGGCUGGCCCCUAGUGGUAGGAAUACAUAUAAGUUUGAAGUACCAAAAGUGGUUCUACCAAUCACAGCUACCAAUACAGUAAAAGGCACUAACCACAUGUGCUAUUAAAAUGGAUAAACUGAUAUGUUGUAAAUUGAAAAUAAAUGGAUUUUGCCAGGCACAGUGGCACAUGCUUAUGAUCCCAAUGAUUCAGGGGGCUGAAGCAGAUGGACAGCAAGCUCAAGGCCAGCCUCAGCAACUUAGCCAGAAUUUGUCUCAAAAAAAAAAAAAAAAAUUAGAAAGGGCUUCGAGCAUAGCUCAGUGGUAAAGCACCCCAGGUUCAAUCUCUAGUGCCUUAAAAAAAUUAAAAAUUAAAAAAAAAUUUCAAAGACUUGAUAGAGAAAAGAAAUGAAAAAUGUAUCAGCAAUCUUUUUGAUGACAGGUUAAUAAUGCUUUGGAUAUACUGGGUUAUUAAAGCAUAUUGUGAAUAUUUCUAUUUUACCUUUUCAUGUGGCUACUAGAAAAUGAUAACUACAUAUCUGCCUUGCAUUUGUGGAUUGCACUGUUUCUACUGAAAACAGUACUCAUCAGAUAUAUCAUAAAAACAUUACACUGAGCAGGGUCUGGCCAUACAUGGUCAGUGAUACAUAGUCAGUGAUAGAGCAUAUGGCUGAUCAAGACCCUGGGCUCAAUCCCAGACAACAGAACAACAAUAAAAACAACACAAACACACUGUGUAAAAACCAAUUGUGAAAUGGUACUACAAAAUAUUAGAUAAAACUUGAAAACAUACAGAAACGGGUUUUUGUAGGCUUUUGUUUUGAGAUAGGAUCUCACUAUGUUACUCAACCCUCAAACUCUUGGACUCAAGUGAUCUUCUACCUUGGUCUCCCAAAUACCUGGGCCUAUUGGCAUAAAACACUGUACCUGAAACCUACAAGGUGUUUUUUUCUUUUCCUUUUGGCAGUGCUGGGGAACACAGGACCUCAGGUAUGUUUCGUAAGAGCUCUACCACUGAGCUACAUUCCCAAUCCAGGCCCGAAGAUGUGUUCUUUGGGAGCAUAUAAACAUUAAGUUAGCAUAGUAACUCAAGGUUCAAAUAACAAAGCAAAUACAUGUUAGUAGUUAUCUCAAAAGACAGGGAAUGCUCUGAAUGGGUGUGCAGGGCAGUUUCAACUUUACCUGUAAGGUUUCUUUGAAAAAUAAAAAUAAAUUUGAAGUAAAUAUGGUAACAUGUCAAGGUUUAAUAGACAUUAUUAUGCAUCAUUAAAAAUGGGUUAAAAUUAGUAGUAUCUAUUGCUUUCAAAAAUACUGCCAACUGACCUUUUCUUCCACUCCCAAUUCCCAAAGAACUUAUUUGAGCCAGACAAGUUUUUGCUGAUCUCAGAAAAUACUUAUGAAUCUUACCCUUUAGCAUGCCUACAAACCACAAAAACUCAUUUAAAAUUAUUAGCUUAAUCAGCAUAAAUGAUCACCUCAAUCAACUAUGGUUCCCAAAUAUCCGGGACAAACUUUGAAAUCACUUUAUGCUGUCAGCACUUCAGUCACACACCAGUUAAUAAUCUCCAGAGACCAUACUGCCUGCAGAGUCUAAAAUAUAUACUAACUGGCAUGUCAAGAAAAAGCUUGAAAGAUAGAAUGCAUCUUGAAUCUCUUUCUCUAGCAGUACACAAAUCUUUCUAAAUUCACUUCACAGUGAUGGUACUAAAAUUUAUCAAAAUCUCAAUUAAAGACAUUUAGAUUAUUUCUAAUAUUUUGCUAUUAUGUUAAAACUAAUAACUUUGGCAUGAAUAAUUACACAUAGAGAAGCAUAUCUGUAGAAUAGCUUCCCUGAAAGUGAACUGCUAGAAUCAAAAGAUAAGCAUUUGCAUUUCAAGAAGUAUUGCCAAAGUGUCCUCCACAAAGAUUUCCAAUUAUUUUUUCCACCAGCAUAAUUUCCCCACGUUGGGGCUGGGGUUCUGGCUCAGCGAUAGAGCUCUCACCUAGCAUGUGCAAGGCCCUGGGUUCGAUCCUCAGUACUACAUAAAAAUAAAUAAACAAACGUAAUUUCCCCACAUCUUUAUUCAUAGUUUUCUAACUUUUAAAUCUUUGCAAUGUAGUAAGUGAAAAAUACUAUCUUAAUGUAGUUUUUACAUUUGCAUUUUCUUGUAAGAUUGAGCAUCUUAUAUUUAUUUCUAUGAACUGUCUAUUUACAUCACCUUUUUUAUACUGGGUGAUUAAUCUUGAAUGGUUUCUACUGGGUUAUUAUUCUCAAUUUAUGAACACUUGAAAUUUUUACUUGAAAUAAUUUUUAUUUAAAAAAACAUAGCUAUCUUCAUAUAAAUGCUUUCAGGAGAAGGGAGUAAUCUAUUUUCAGCCUUUAAACUACUAAUAUAUUAUUUGACAAUCUACACUUCUUCUAUUUUCUCUUUUAUAAUGGGUUCCUUUAGCUAACAGACUUUUUUCUUGACUUAUAAUUUAUUUAUCUUAAUCUAAGCGGAAAGAAAUGCUUCUUUUAAAGUUAGAAUAUUUUUUCCUAAUGCUCAACUAUGUAAGAGGGGAAAAAAAUUCAACUACUCAACAGUACAUACUUGUAUUUCUUGAAGUACAAGGAAAUGCCAAGACAUCACAGAUUUUCCCCCCAAACAAAAUAUCACUCCAAAUUCUUCUAAAAUAGAGCCAAUAAAAUUAAGAUAUUAAAAAAUACCAUCUAGCCAGGCAUGGUAGCACAUGCCUGUAAUUCCAGCAAGAGGCUAAGGCAGGAGGAUCACAAGUUCAAAGCCAGCCUCAAAA
Long non-coding RNA from Ictidomys tridecemlineatus (thirteen-lined ground squirrel), 5036 nucleotides. RefSeq lists it as uncharacterized. Lineage: Eukaryota; Metazoa; Chordata; Mammalia; Rodentia; Sciuridae. The record is from RefSeq and is a predicted model, not a curated record.